GGGGAAAGCUUGUCUUCCCUGAGUAAGCCGGGACCUAAGCCCAGGCUAUAAUGCGUAGGCGAAUGGAAAACAGAUUAAUAUUUCUGUGCCAGUCAUAUAUUGUGAUGGAGGGACGCAGAAGGGUAUGCGCGCGGACGAACGGAAGUGUCCGUAGAAGUAUGUAGGAUGACUUGAUAGGAAAAUCCAUUGAGUUAUAUCUGAGGUAUGAUAUACAGUCGUAAGAUGAAUGCGCAAAUCCCACGCUGCCAAGAAAAGCUUCUAACGUUAAUAUUUGACUGCCCGUACUGCAAACCGACACAGGUGGUCAGGAUGAGAAAUCUAAGGCGGACAGGCUAACUCUCGUUAAGGAACUCUGCAAAAUAACCUCGUAACUUCGGGAGAAGAGGAGCCCUUGAGGGUCAGUAUCCACGCGAUACAAAGCGCUCGAGGGUCGCAGUGAAGAGGCUCAAGCAACUGUUUAACAAAAACACAGGUCUAUGCUAAGCUGGAAGGCGAUGUAUAUGGGCUGACACCUGCCCAGUGCUGGAAGGUUAAGAGGAGGAGUGAGAGCUCCGAAUUGAAGCCCCAGUGAACGGCGGCCGUAACUAUAACGGUCCUAAGGUAGCGAAAUUCCUUGUCGGGUAAGUUCCGACCUGCACGAAUGGUGU
RNAcentral lists this ribosomal RNA (647 nucleotides) under Porphyromonadaceae bacterium. Its description in RNAcentral is "partial 23S ribosomal RNA". It matches the Rfam family "Bacterial large subunit ribosomal RNA", at positions 1357 to 2002 of the family's 2925-position model. The record is from RNAcentral. Lineage: Bacteria; Pseudomonadati; Bacteroidota; Bacteroidia; Bacteroidales; Porphyromonadaceae.